GGGGACCACAGUACGCCGAGACGUCACAGCGUCAUCCCACACUUUUUCAAUCGCGCCAGUUCACGGCUGACCGUGCCCAUCUAGGUGUGCAGCAUCCGUGCGGUUUCUGUUAGAUUUCCCCUUUUAAUCACCGCAUGAAGAAUUUCAAUGUGGCGUAAGUUAACGGCGGGCAUAAGGCACCUGUUUAUAACGAUUAUCCAUAUCAUUUUUGCAUAGACUCGCGAUAACGACAUCUUCCUGAACGACAUCUUCCUGACCAUGUCUAACAAAAUUAUCCGCGCACACUGGCACAGAGGCGACUCCCACACUCCCACGACUUCCACUAGUGGGCAAUUUAGGAAAUCCUCCCCAACGCUCAUCUGCCCGUGCCACGAACGCCUCGAAAGCCUUCGGGUUUUCAGGCUCCCACAACCCCGAAGGUUAACGUAUUUUUUUUUUUUUUUUUUUUUUUUUUCCCCCUUCCUUUUUCCCCCCUUUUUUUUUUUUUUUCCCCCCCCCCCCUCCCCGCCGGCCCCCCGGGGGGUUGGGUUU
RNAcentral lists this ribosomal RNA (531 nucleotides) under Enterobacter cloacae. Its description in RNAcentral is "partial 16S ribosomal RNA". The record is from RNAcentral. Lineage: Bacteria; Pseudomonadati; Pseudomonadota; Gammaproteobacteria; Enterobacterales; Enterobacteriaceae.